RNAcentral lists this ribosomal RNA (305 nucleotides) under Treponema sp. RNAcentral describes it as "partial 16S ribosomal RNA". It matches the Rfam family "Bacterial small subunit ribosomal RNA", at positions 1 to 302 of the family's 1533-position model. The record is from RNAcentral. Lineage: Bacteria; Pseudomonadati; Spirochaetota; Spirochaetia; Treponematales; Treponemataceae.
AUCAUGGAGAGUUUGAUCCUGGCUCAGAACGAACGCUGGCGGCGCGUCUUAAGCAUGCAAGUCGAACGGCAAGUUACCUUCGGGUAACCUAGAGUGGCGGACUGGUGAGUAACACGUAGGUGACGUACCCCCCGGACGGGGAUAGCUCCUAGAAAUAGGAGAUAAUACCGGAUAAGGUUGCACGGGCUGGAACCGUGUAAGGAAAGGUGCUUCGGCACCGCCGGGGGAGCGGCCUGCGGCCCAUCAGCUGGUAGGUGAGGUAAAGGCCCACCUAGGCAAUGACGGGUAUCCGGCCUGAGAGGGUG